UCAAUGCAGCGUGCAGGACGUAACUUGAUUCAGGGCCUCAAGGAUUUGCCUCUCAUCCAUGGGUAUACUAGCCUGCUAGCGCUUAGUAAAGAGAUCAACAAACAGUGUAAAGAGAUCAACGAAAAGUCCCAGAGGAAACAUGAUCUUGUCAUUGCUUCCUAUGUGUUAGGGGAGAUACCAUCUCUCAAAGACAGGAUUACUGUGGUUCGCCAGC
Molecule: non-coding RNA, 214 nt
Organism: Camelina sativa (false flax)
Lineage: Eukaryota; Viridiplantae; Streptophyta; Magnoliopsida; Brassicales; Brassicaceae
Source: RefSeq, a predicted model, not a curated record